This 426-nucleotide ribosomal RNA is filed under the name Acanthamoeba genotype T3. RNAcentral's name for it is "SSU rRNA". It matches the Rfam family "Eukaryotic small subunit ribosomal RNA", at positions 739 to 1084 of the family's 1831-position model. Lineage: Eukaryota; Discosea; Longamoebia; Acanthamoebidae. The record is from RNAcentral.
UGGCCCAGAUCGUUUACCGUGAAAAAAUUAGAGUGUUCAAAGCAGGCAGAUCCAAUUUUCUGCCACCGAAUACAUUAGCAUGGGAUAAUGGAAUAGGACCCUGUCCUCCUAUUUUCAGUUGGUUUGCCGCGAGGACCAGGGUAAUGAUUAAUAGGGAUAGUUGGGGGCAUUAAUAUUUAAUUGUCAGAGGUGAAAUUCUUGGAUUUAUGAAAGAUUAACUUCUGCGAAAGCAUCUGCCAAGGAUGUUUUCAUUAAUCAAGAACGAAAGUUAGGGGAUCGAAGACGAUCAGAUACCGUCGUAGUCUUAACCAUAAACGAUGCCGACCAGCGAUUAGGAGACGUGUGAAUACAAAACACCACCAUGCGCAUUGCGGUCGUCUUUGGUGUCGCUCACAAGGCGGCACCGGGGCGGCUAGUUCGACUGGU